GUCAUUUGAAAAAAUUAUAUAUUGAAAAAUAACAAAAUUUCUUCAUGUUUCUUCGCGGAAAUUGUUAAAAAAUUGGUGGUGUGCGUGGUUUUUCGGUUUUUAUACCGCGACCAUUGAACUUCCUGAAGAAAACCGAUGUUUUAAAGGUUAAACGUCAAAAGUUCAUAAAUAUUGUUUGGUAAUUGCAUUUCACACUCAACAACGAAU
Molecule: long non-coding RNA, 207 nt
Organism: Episyrphus balteatus (marmalade hoverfly)
Lineage: Eukaryota; Metazoa; Arthropoda; Insecta; Diptera; Syrphidae
Exons: 2
Source: RefSeq, a predicted model, not a curated record